GCCUACUAUUGCCCUACAAGGGUCAGUGGAGUUUUUACAUCAUCAGUCCAGCUGCUAGGGAGAUAAUCUAUAGGUGCAAAGGAGCACGGUGGUCAGCUUGGUAGAAAUUCAAUAAGACUGAUCUCACAAUAAAAACUACAAUGAACAAUUAAUAGCUAUUUGGUUUAGAGUGCUUCUUUAAUUGAUCCUAAAAAUAGCAUUCUAUACAUUGUGGAACUUUAAUGAAACCUAGGCCACACCAAAC
Molecule: non-coding RNA, 244 nt
Organism: Pelobates cultripes (western spadefoot toad)
Lineage: Eukaryota; Metazoa; Chordata; Amphibia; Anura; Pelobatidae
Source: the annotation of a GenBank genome assembly